RNAcentral lists this ribosomal RNA (599 nucleotides) under Micromonospora echinospora. RNAcentral describes it as "bacterial SSU rRNA". It matches the Rfam family "Bacterial small subunit ribosomal RNA", at positions 279 to 886 of the family's 1533-position model. The record is from RNAcentral. Lineage: Bacteria; Bacillati; Actinomycetota; Actinomycetes; Micromonosporales; Micromonosporaceae.
ACGGGUAGCCGGCCUGAGAGGGCGACCGGCCACACUGGGACUGAGACACGUGCCCAGACUCCUACGGGAGGCAGCAGUGGGGAAUAUUGCACAAUGGGCGGAAGCCUGAUGCAGCGACGCCGCGUGAGGGAUGACGGCCUUCGGGUUGUAAACCUCUUUCAGCAGGGACGAAGCGCAAGUGACGGUACCUGCAGAAGAAGCGCCGGCCAACUACGUGCCAGCAGCCGCGGUAAGACGUAGGGCGCGAGCGUUGUCCGGAUUUAUUGGGCGUAAAGAGCUCGUAGGCGGCUUGUCGCGUCGACUGUGAAAACCCACAGCUCAACUGUGGGCUUGCAGUCGAUACGGGCAGGCUAGAGUUCGGUAGGGGAGACUGGAAUUCCUGGUGUAGCGGUGAAAUGCGCAGAUAUCAGGAGGAACACCGGUGGCGAAGGCGGGUCUCUGGGCCGAUACUGACGCUGAGGAGCGAAAGCGUGGGGAGCGAACAGGAUUAGAUACCCUGGUAGUCCACGCUGUAAACGUUGGGCGCUAGGUGUGGGGGACCUCUCCGGUUCUCUGUGCCGCAGCUAACGCAUUAAGCGCCCCGCCUGGGGGAGUACGGA